UGGCUCCAAAACACAUUGGAUGUUCCUUAACAGUGAUUCCUACAAAUUGUGUAGCAUCUUACACUAUUUCAAAGGCUGUCCACUUUCAUACUGCUGCACACCUGGCCAACCACUGCAUAAGACCGAUUCAUAAUAAUGGCUGUGACCUCUCCUGGCCCCACAGGCCGACCUCAUCCACUUCUGCUAAUGUUCCC
This is a long non-coding RNA of Monopterus albus (swamp eel), 194 nucleotides long. RefSeq lists it as uncharacterized. The record is from RefSeq and is a predicted model, not a curated record. Lineage: Eukaryota; Metazoa; Chordata; Actinopteri; Synbranchiformes; Synbranchidae. The transcript is spliced from 3 exons.